UACGAAGGGGGCUAGCGUUGUUCGGAUUUACUGGGCGUAAAGCGCACGUAGGCGGAUCUUUAAGUCAGAGGUGAAAUCCCAAGGCUCAACCUUGGAACUGCCUUUGAUACUGGGGAUCUCGAGUUCGGGAGAGGUGAGUGGAACUGCGAGUGUAGAGGUGAAAUUCGUAGAUAUUCGCAAGAACACCAGUGGCGAAGGCGGUUACCUGGAGCUUUGCUGACGCUGAUGCGCGAAAGCGUGGGGAGCGAUCCGG
Molecule: ribosomal RNA, 253 nt
Filed under: uncultured bacterium
Lineage: Bacteria
Description: partial 16S ribosomal RNA
Rfam family: Bacterial small subunit ribosomal RNA
Source: RNAcentral